This 523-nucleotide ribosomal RNA is filed under the name uncultured bacterium. RNAcentral's name for it is "partial 16S ribosomal RNA". It matches the Rfam family "Bacterial small subunit ribosomal RNA", at positions 28 to 523 of the family's 1533-position model. The record is from RNAcentral.
GACGAACGCUGGCGGCGUGCCUAAUACAUGCAAGUCGAACGAAGCUGUUUUAACUGGUGCUUGCACCGACUUAAACAACUGAGUGGCGAACGGGUGAGUAACACGUGGGUAACCUGCCCCAAAGCGGGGGAUAACAUUUGGAAACAGAUGCUAAUACCGCAUAACCACAGAAACCACAUGGUUUCUGUGUCAAAGAUGGUUUCGGCUAUCACUUUGGGAUGGACCCGCGGCGUAUUAGCUAGUUGGUAAGGUAAUGGCUUACCAAGGCAAUGAUACGUAGCCGAAGUGAGAGGUUGAUCGGCCACAUUGGGACUGAGACACGGCCCAAACUCCUACGGGAGGCAGCAGUAGGGAAUCUUCACAAUGGACGAAAGUCUGAUGGAGCAACGCCGCGUGAGUGAAGAAGGUUUUCGGAUCGUAAAACUCUGUUGUCAGAGAAGAACGUGUGCGAGAGUAACUGCUCGUGCAGUGACGGUAUCUGGCCAGAAAGCCACGGCUAACUACGUGCCAGCCGCCGCAGUAA